UCAAUGCCCCUUUCUCUUUGAAUUCUAGCAUAUCCAAUAAAGAUGCAAUCAAUACCUUUUCUCAUAAUGUCUUUCGUUUAGGAUUUUGGAGGCGACAAUGAUAGCUCGGGGUUUCUUUGAUUAAGGUAAACCCACUCUUAACCUUCAGUUCAUCUCGUCUUCCUCCCUUUAUCCUAGAUUCGGUUGGAUUUGAUUUUGUAACAAGAGCGAUGAUUCUCUCUUAGCAGUCGAAAAUCCGAGGGCGAUGAAGGCCAGAAUCCGUCGCUGGCCAUGGAUUUUCCUCCGAUCUACUCUCUCAGCAUUUGACUGAAGAAUACGGAUGGUGAGUCGCUCAACUCUCCCUAAUCUUAAUCAUCUCUCGCUCGAAUGCUUAGAGGUUGGAUGAUGAUAUUAGUAAUGAUGCUUACUAGCCUCUGUACAGCAGCCUCCACUGCCCUUAUGUGGGUCUCCCGAUUCACAGUCGUCACCCUCUUUCUCCUGGAACCCUCAUCUGCGAAUUUCAUAGUCGCCGUUCCAUCCCAAAUUCAAUACUAAAUCGAAGAUCCCAGCUCUUGAUUGCCUUCGCCUCUCGACUCCAUCACAGUUGCAUCGGGACGCGAUCAUGCAUAGAUCGAUUCCCUCAUUUUAAGGUAAGCUCGGUUUCCCCCUCUGCUUGCAAUGAUUCUAAUUUGAACUAUGAUCUUUCUAACGAUCCUCGCCUCUUCUUUCCCAGUUCAGUUCGAUGUGGAAAUUCCGCCGGUAUCUUGGAGGGUCAAAGGCUUUACCAGCGACGCCAUGUCAGGUCUGAACUUGUACUCUCGUCAGUUUUUUUUAUUUAGAUUAAUCUUCUCUUUGAAGGAUUUUACGGUUAUUUCCCCAGGUGUGUAAAGAACACAGCGGGUUUGCUGUUCUAGUUGAUCAAGCGAUGUGUGCGGUUCUCAGUGAUCCUGAAAAAGAACAAGGUAAUGUAUUCUACGCUCUUCCUCUCCUCUCGAUUCCUAUCCCGAUGUAUCUAUGUAUCUCUGUUAUGAAUCCCUUCCUACCUUCUAAUUUUUCAAUAGGCUAUUCGAAGUGAAGAAGGCUGGUUAUGGACCAGAGGGAGCACGAGGAAUGGAGGACAACAAAACUUGAUGUCUGAGGGCUCCAUGAAAGUGAGGAAGGGGGGUCGAGAUUUAACUAGGGGGCGAAACUAGAAGGGCGGCCAGACAAGGUCAACAACACAGAGGUAAUACUCAAAAUUAUAAGCUCGGAUAGACAUGUGAUCGAGUAUUGCUUGUCCUUCUCAGCAACAAAGACUCGUGUGUAUUUUAUCGAGAUAAAAUUGGUCUACUUAGUCUUGAUUGGAAUGUCGAUUUGGCUGUUCAGGACAGGAGCAACUAAAGUGUGUUUGCAUCCAUGUUUUUUUCAUGGAAUAAAUAUACUAUCCUAUCUCAUUAAAGAAUCUAUGAUUACCAUGAUUCAUGUAUGCAGGCUAGGACUCGUAAAACCAAUGUUAUUCAAUUGGGCAUUCAUGAGUUGGCAUUAACCCAUCAUAUGUAUUUGCCAAACAAUCUGAAUUGCAUGUUUUGAUAUGACCAUCGUGGUGAAGAGCGAAGCUGGACCAAGAGAAGAUGAAGGACCAGGAUCGAGAACCUAGAAUCAUCAUGAAAGACCAACACAAAAAGAAGAAACAUAGAAAAUAGUACACAAUAAUAGUCAAAGGGAGUCCACAAUUUCCAAACAAGCAUCCAAAAUAACAAACAUCCACAAACUGUCAUAAAACACAACACAACACAAGUCUAGUCACACAAAAGAAACACAAACAAACCAUCAAGUCUAAAAAAAAGAGAGAGAGACAAAGGAACAUCACUCGAACAAUGGUGGAGGUGGUGGUGGCUGCUAGGAUGGGAAAUGGGGAUAAUACCCAUAGUAGCUUACCUCCGCGCUCAGAUGGUGGUAAUACCAUUGAUGUCCAUCUCUCGAAUCUUGGAAGUGGUCUUGUGGUGGGGGAGAGUAGUCGGGAUAGUGUUGAGGAAGUAAGAGUACACGUUCUGAUAUUUGGCCAUGUGGCCAGUCUGCCAACCCUACUUCUGUUGGAUCCAGUGCAUCUCCAUCUAUACUAUCUGAAUCUACUCCCCAACCCUCUAGAAAUUGCUACUCGUCUCACCUCUAAAGGCAUCAAAGUCGCUUCAUAACCCACUCAUAUCCUGUCUGAUGUACCCCAACUGCUCAUCAUGUGACUUCCUGAACUACUUAUCUCUCUGUGCCUCAUACUGAGCUCUCUCAUCAGAACACUAUUGAUGGAUAGCAAGAUGCUCCAUGACAGCCUGCAGAUCGGACAAAUACCCGAGCUGAAGUUGCGGUGUCGAUCUCCUUAACAAGCAAGUCCUGAACUCCAUUCCUUAGUAAUUAAUCCGGGUAGAAGUCAUAAGGUGGAGUCUCGAAGAUGCCCAACACUCCAUAAUUACGGACUGACAAGCUAACAUACCCUCCUUUGUAUAGUACGACAUGCAUUGAGUAGCUCUUCAAUUGCUUGAAGAGAGUGAGAACCAAGUCUCCCAAAUGCAUAUCGAUCUUAUCCUAGCAAUAGAAGAUGUACAUGUCUCGGUUAGUGAGCGCACUUGGAGAGCUUGAAGACGAACGGUGCGAGAUACCGUGGCGAGCAAACAGAUGGAUGAGACGAAGCAUUGGCUUGUGGGUUCGCAGCGCCUUAAAGACCCCAACUACAAACUGAGGCGCGUCUUUGAUAAUGCUACACCAAAAACCCUGCACAUCAUAGAGGGGGAGUCCGGAAACCAUGGCAAGACAAGCCAGCUUACCAUUGUUCAGCUCCUCAUUUGAAUGGAACCUGAGCAUUACCCCAAACUCAUGUGGGAACACUGUGUACAGCCUCCCUCCCAAGCGGAAGGAGACCACCCUCUGAGAGGUGGAAGUGUAUCUCCCGAUGUCAAGUGUGUAGAAGAACUCACGAACCGCGCGAGGAUAUGAAUACUCCUUCACCAUCAUCGCCCUCCAAAUAUUCUUGGUCCUCUUGUAAUAGGAAUGAAAGGGGAACAAGCCUGCUAGUUAACUCCUCAAAAACUAAGUGCCCCUGUUUGGAAACAGAAAGGUGUUGGAGAGUCGCAUAGAGCUUCCAAGACAUAAAGCAUCAAUCGCGAGGUUUUACGGAUCGACGGGCUCAGUAGGAGCUUCAAACAUGUGGUACUGCUGAGGUGGAACUGCAGGUGAGGAAGUACCUUGAGUCGUUUGCCCUGAGGAAGAAGAAUUCUCAUUUCCACUAUGCCUCUUGUUACACUUGGUAGACUUACCUUUAGGAGACAUCCUGAAAAAUAGUCAGCAAAUGUAGACUGCAAAUUGGGAAACAGGAUUCGGGAUUUCCCGUUUCCGUUCCCGUAUUAUUGAAAAAAAACUCGGGAAUUCCCAUUCCCAUUACCAAACUCAAAAUUCGGGUUUGGUUGGGGAAUAAAAUUUCAUGUUCGGUUUUUUGGUUCGAUUCUGGGAUUCCCAAAAUCCCAAAGUUUCUUAUUAUUUUCUAUUAUCGACAAAAGAAAAAACAUCGUAUAAGAAAUGAUUGAUUCAUACGUUAGGGCAUAGCUCAUUUUCGCUUCAAGACUGAAAUUACGGUUCGUGAAACCGAGAGGCCGAGAGUCCCCAUGUCCCUCAAUGGUGAUUCCCGAUGAUUCCCUCGACGGUUCAACCCCUCCUCUCUAGGGUGGCGAUUCCCAGUCUAGACGUCGGAUUCUUCUUCUUUUGCUACGAUGAUUCCCAACGAUUCCCUCAUUGUUCUGGAAUCUGAUUUAAGGUGAGAACACAUCUCCAACCCACUAUGGGUUUUAUUGUGAGGUUUUGAUUGUUUCUUAUUUCUUUGCGUAACAGUGGUCAUCGUCGAUUUGUACAGGUGCGGCUGUUGAUUCUGCGAACACACCUCUACUACUUUCGUCGGUGAACAACAUUCAAUUGAGGUGUGAAUAAUGAUUGAUUUAUGCUCCACUUUGGUUUUUGAUUAACUCUACAAUAGCUUUCUAUCUGCUAUCUCAAUUGUAAAAUCCUGCCAAAAGACAUUACAUUACAAGGAUGGCUUGUAAAAUCUAAGAAUAUAUGCUAAUGGCUUCAGUUAAAAUCAGGGUGAGUAUUGAGCUUGCUUCACUACUGUCUAUUGAAUACUCAGAACUGAAUUUUGGUCUUUCUUCAUCCCACUUAACUAUCUCCCUCGCAUAUUUAAGAGAUGAGUUGAUAGUGUCAGAUGCUAUAGAUUAUAUUGAUCCUGGGCCUAGUCGAAUAUGAUAAAGAUGAAGAGGGUGAAAAUGAAUAUGUUGAUUCUGUAAGUAUUCUUAAAUUUAUUUAUAGUUAGUAGAAUGGAAUAGUGCUCGAUAUUGUGACUGUGACUGAAUUCUGGCUGUUUGUUUUUCAAUUCUAUUUCUUGGUAUUGCAAUGGUUUUGCAUCACUCAUUUAAGAUAUAUGAGACUGUUGCAGUUUAUAGUUUCAAAACACAU
This 4452-nucleotide long non-coding RNA is filed under the name Linum usitatissimum (flax). RNAcentral describes it as "long non-coding RNA (LUSI_LNC003024)". The record is from RNAcentral. Lineage: Eukaryota; Viridiplantae; Streptophyta; Magnoliopsida; Malpighiales; Linaceae.